Long non-coding RNA from Solea solea (common sole), 237 nucleotides. RefSeq lists it as uncharacterized. The transcript has 3 exons. The record is from RefSeq and is a predicted model, not a curated record. Lineage: Eukaryota; Metazoa; Chordata; Actinopteri; Pleuronectiformes; Soleidae.
CAGUGUUAAAAGGUUAAAAUCGUGCUCCAAAUCCAUCACGAUACAUGAAGACAUCACACCUACGACUCCACUGUAUCACGGAGAAAAGUGUCAAAUCCCGUCAGAGAUCUCUCGUCAUGUGAGCGGCUGAGCGGUGGCGAAACAUGAAGAAAAGCUCCACGAUCAUCCCCCCCUCUUCAUUAACAGGCACUGCGGGGGUUACAGGCCCGCAGAGCCACGCCGGCCACCGUCCUCCAG